This 468-nucleotide ribosomal RNA is filed under the name uncultured bacterium. RNAcentral describes it as "partial 16S ribosomal RNA". It matches the Rfam family "Bacterial small subunit ribosomal RNA", at positions 28 to 507 of the family's 1533-position model. The record is from RNAcentral.
GACGAACGCUGGCGGCGUGCUUAACACAUGCAAGUCGAACGGAAAGGCCCUGCUUUUGUGGGGUGCUCGAGUGGCGAACGGGUGAGUAACACGUGAGUAACCUGCCCUUGACUUUGGGAUAACUUCAGGAAACUGGGGCUAAUACCGGAUAGGAGCUCCUGCUGCAUGGUGGGGGUUGGAAAGUUUUGGCGGUUGGGGAUGGACUCGCGGCUUAUCAGCUUGUUGGUGGGGUAGUGGCUUACCAAGGCUUUGACGGGUAGCCGGCCUGAGAGGGUGACCGGCCACAUUGGGACUGAGAUACGGCCCAGACUCCUACGGGAGGCAGCAGUGGGGAAUAUUGCACAAUGGGCGGAAGCCUGUUGCAGCAACGCCGCGUGCGGGAUGACGGCCUUCGGGUUGUAAACCGCUUUCGCCUGUGACGAAGCGUGAGUGACGGUAAUGGGUAAAGAAGCACCGGCUAACUACGUG